GGUGAGGUGGCAGAGCCCGGUUGAAUGCGCCAGCCUUGAGAGCUGGUAGGUCGCAAGGCCUCACGAGUUCAAAUCUCGUCCUCACCG
Molecule: transfer RNA, 87 nt
Filed under: Candidatus Iainarchaeum sp.
Lineage: Archaea; Nanobdellati; Candidatus Iainarchaeota; Candidatus Iainarchaeia; Candidatus Iainarchaeales; Candidatus Iainarchaeaceae
Description: tRNA-Ser
Rfam family: tRNA
About the family: Transfer RNA (tRNA) molecules are approximately 80 nucleotides in length.
Source: RNAcentral